RNAcentral lists this ribosomal RNA (492 nucleotides) under uncultured bacterium. RNAcentral describes it as "partial 16S ribosomal RNA". It matches the Rfam family "Bacterial small subunit ribosomal RNA", at positions 30 to 507 of the family's 1533-position model. The record is from RNAcentral.
AGUGAACGCUGGCGGUAGGCCUAACACAUGCAAGUCGAACGGCAGCACAGUAAGAGCUUGCUCUUACGGGUGGCGAGUGGCGGACGGGUGAGGAAUACAUCGGAAUCUACUUUUUCGUGGGGGAUAACGUAGGGAAACUUACGCUAAUACCGCAUACGACCUACGGGUGAAAGCAGGGGAUCUUCGGACCUUGCGCGAUUGAAUGAGCCGAUGUCGGAUUAGCUAGUUGGCGGGGUAAAGGCCCACCAAGGCGACGAUCCGUAGCUGGUCUGAGAGGAUGAGGAGCCAAAGUGGAAAUGAGAGACGGGGGAGACCCGGACGGGAGGCAGAAGGGGGGAAUAUUGGAGAAUGGGAGCAAGCCUGAUCCAGCUAUAGAGCGGGGAGGAAGAAGGCCGUUGGGUUGUAAAGCUUUUUUGGUGGGAAAGAAAAGAAGCAAGUGAAUAACCCGGUGCUCUGAAGGUAGCAAAAGAACAAGAAAGGGAUAAACUAGUG